GGCAGGGAGUGGCUGAAUAGUACAGCAUCUGCUUUGCAUGCAGAAGUUCCCAGGUUCAAUCACUGGAGCCAUGCUG
RNAcentral lists this transfer RNA (76 nucleotides) under Sphaerodactylus townsendi. RNAcentral's name for it is "tRNA-Ala". The stretch from base 10 to 66 matches the Rfam family "tRNA", at positions 8 to 63 of the family's 71-position model. From Rfam's summary of the family: Transfer RNA (tRNA) molecules are approximately 80 nucleotides in length. Their secondary structure includes four short double-helical elements and three loops (D, anti-codon, and T loops). Lineage: Eukaryota; Metazoa; Chordata; Lepidosauria; Squamata; Sphaerodactylidae. The record is from RNAcentral.